AACGAACGCUGGCGGCAUGCCUAACACAUGCAAGUCGAACGAGACCUUCGGGUCUAGUGGCGCACGGGUGCGUAACACGUGGGAAUCUGCCCUUUGCUUCGGAAUAACAGUUAGAAAUGACUGCUAAUACCGGAUGAUGUCGAAAGACCAAAGAUUUAUCGGCAAAGGAUGAGCCCGCGUAGGAUUAGGUAGUUGGUGGGGUAAAGGCCUACCAAGCUGACGAUCCUUAGCUGGUCUGAGAGGAUGAUCAGCCACACUGGGACUGAGACACGGCCCAGACUCCUACGGGAGGCAGCAGUGGGGAAUAUUGGACAAUGGGCGAAAGCCUGAUCCAGCAAUGCCGCGUGAGUGAUGAAGGCCUUAGGGUUGUAAAGCUCUUUUACCAGGGAUGAUAAUGACAGUACCUGGAGAAUAAGCUCCGGCUAACUCCGUG
Molecule: ribosomal RNA, 433 nt
Filed under: uncultured bacterium
Lineage: Bacteria
Description: partial 16S ribosomal RNA
Rfam family: Bacterial small subunit ribosomal RNA
Source: RNAcentral